UCACAGCUUAACGAUAGCAGUGGAAAUCCUUUUUGUGUGCCCUUCGCCUCCGCUUAGGCCCCAAACAAAAAGAUCGUAACGAAAUAGCGUGACGCCAG
This 98-nucleotide small RNA is filed under the name Pedobacter psychrophilus. RNAcentral's name for it is "Pedobacter sp. CCM 8644 Flavo-1 RNA". It matches the Rfam family "Flavo-1 RNA". Lineage: Bacteria; Pseudomonadati; Bacteroidota; Sphingobacteriia; Sphingobacteriales; Sphingobacteriaceae. The record is from Rfam by way of RNAcentral.